Molecule: ribosomal RNA, 715 nt
Filed under: Bursaphelenchus zvyagintsevi
Lineage: Eukaryota; Metazoa; Nematoda; Chromadorea; Rhabditida; Aphelenchoididae
Description: partial large subunit ribosomal RNA
Rfam family: Eukaryotic large subunit ribosomal RNA
Source: RNAcentral
AAGUUGAAAAGUACUUUGAAAAGAGAGUGCAAGAGAACGUGAAACCGGUGUAAUGGAAGCAUAUGGAGUUGACGUAUCUGGUACGUAUUCAGUUGUUUUGCGUUGCGAUUGUUGAGUAUGUCAUUCCGCAAGGUUGGCUGCUCGGCUUGUCGUAGCGUAAGUCGAUGCAUUUACGUACGGAGUGCGCCGAGUUGUUCGAUGGUGUCUAUCGAAGCGAGUUUAGAGGACAUGGCUUGCUGUGAAACCUGGACUUGCCGAGGUAGGUUGCUGUUGUGCAGCUUUGUAGGAGGUGCGGGCAUACGCGCUUUGCGGUAUCGGGUUGGUCGGUUUGUGUUGUACGCAUGCGUGCGAUACUUAUGGGCUCGUCCGGUGCAGUAGGGUGCUCUGCGCUCUUCUCGGUGUAUAGUCAAUUUCCCAUUUGACCCGUCUUGAAACACGGACCAAGGAGUUUAUGGUAUACGCGAGUCAUUGGACUUUGAAAUCCAAAGGCGCAAUGAAAGUGAGAUCAUACGGUUAAAAAUGUGAUCGGUUGUUGUUUCGACGGCAGCCGAGCAACAUUGGCCCGUUUCUAGGAUUUAUCCUGUUGCGGAGCUUGAGCGUAUGCUAUGAGACCCGAAAGAUGGUGAACUAUGCCUGAACAGGAUGAAGCCAGAGGAAACUCUGGUGGAAGUCCGAAGCGGUUCUGACGUGCAAAUCGAUCGUCUGAUUUUGGUAU